This 432-nucleotide ribosomal RNA is filed under the name uncultured Alphaproteobacteria bacterium. RNAcentral describes it as "bacterial SSU rRNA". It matches the Rfam family "Bacterial small subunit ribosomal RNA", at positions 29 to 506 of the family's 1533-position model. The record is from RNAcentral. Lineage: Bacteria; Pseudomonadati; Pseudomonadota; Alphaproteobacteria.
AGCGAACGCUGGCGGCAGGCCUAACACAUGCAAGUCGAACGAAGUCUUCGGACUUAGUGGCGGACGGGUGAGUAACACGUGGGAACGUGCCCUUUGGUACGGAAUAACUCAGGGAAACUUGAGCUAAUACCGUAUGUGCCCUUCGGGGGAAAGAUUUAUCGCCAUUGGAGCGGCCCGCGUCUGAUUAGCUAGUUGGUGGUGUAAUGGACCACCAAGGCGACGAUCAGUAGCUGGUCUGAGAGGAUGAUCAGCCACAUUGGGACUGAGACACGGCCCAAACUCCUACGGGAGGCAGCAGUGGGGAAUCUUGCGCAAUGGGCGAAAGCCUGACGCAGCCAUGCCGCGUGAAUGAUGAAGGUCUUAGGAUUGUAAAAUUCUUUCACCGGGGACGAUAAUGACGGUACCCGGAGAAGAAGCCCCGGCUAACUUCGU